GUCCAGGGAUGGGAAUCGAACCCACGACAUGGCAUCUGCCCGGUAAGCGGAAGGUCGUGGGUUCGAUUCCCAUCCCUGGACA
This 82-nucleotide transfer RNA is filed under the name Cordylochernes scorpioides. RNAcentral describes it as "tRNA-Thr". The record is from RNAcentral. Lineage: Eukaryota; Metazoa; Arthropoda; Arachnida; Pseudoscorpiones; Chernetidae.